UGGACCUCAGAUCAGGCAAGAUCACCCGCUGAGUUUAAGCAUAUCACUAAGCGGAGGAAAAGAAACUAACGAGGAUUUCCCUAGUAACGGCGAGCGAACCGGAAGUAGCCCAGCUUGAAAAUCU
RNAcentral lists this ribosomal RNA (124 nucleotides) under Frullania junghuhniana. Its description in RNAcentral is "partial 26S ribosomal RNA". It matches the Rfam family "Eukaryotic large subunit ribosomal RNA", at positions 1 to 123 of the family's 3401-position model. Lineage: Eukaryota; Viridiplantae; Streptophyta; Jungermanniopsida; Porellales; Frullaniaceae. The record is from RNAcentral.